AGUGAACGCUGGCGGUAGGCCUAACACAUGCAAGUCGAACGGCAGCACAGUAAGAGCUUGCUCUUACGGGUGGCGAGUGGCGGACGGGUGAGGAAUACAUCGGAAUCUACUUUUUCGUGGGGGAUAACGUAGGGAAACUUACGCUAAUACCGCAUACGACCUACGGGUGAAAGCAGGGGAUCUUCGGACCUUGCGCGAUUGAAUGAGCCGAUGUCGGAUUAGCUAGUUGGCGGGGUAAAGGCCCACCAAGGCGACGAUCCGUAGCUGGUCUGAGAGGAUGAUCGGCCAAACGGGACGUGAGACACGGUCCAGACUCCUACGGGAGGCAGCAGUGGGGAAUAUUGGACAAUGGGCGCAAGCCUGAUCCAGCCAGACCGCGUGGGUGAAGAAGGCCUUCGGGUUGUAAAGCCCUUUUGUUGGGAAAGAAAAGCAGCAGGUUAAUACCCCGCUGUUCUGACGGUACCCAAAGAAUAAGCACCGGCUAACUUCGU
RNAcentral lists this ribosomal RNA (491 nucleotides) under uncultured bacterium. RNAcentral describes it as "partial 16S ribosomal RNA". It matches the Rfam family "Bacterial small subunit ribosomal RNA", at positions 29 to 506 of the family's 1533-position model. The record is from RNAcentral.